This 460-nucleotide ribosomal RNA is filed under the name uncultured bacterium. Its description in RNAcentral is "partial 16S ribosomal RNA". It matches the Rfam family "Bacterial small subunit ribosomal RNA", at positions 28 to 507 of the family's 1533-position model. The record is from RNAcentral.
GACGAACGCUGGCGGCGUGCUUAACACAUGCAAGUCGAGCGGUAAGGCCUCUUCGGGGGUACUCGAGCGGCGAACGGGUGAGUAACACGUGGGUGACCUGCCCUCAGCUCUGGGAUAAGCCUGGGAAACUGGGUCUAAUACCGGAUAUGACCUUCCUUCGCAUGGGGUUUGGUGGAAAGUUUUUUCGGCUUGGGUUGGGCCCGCGGCCUAUCAGCUUGUUGGUGAGGUGAUGGCCUACCAAGGCGACGACGGGUAGCCGGCCUGAGAGGGCGACCGGCCAACCUGGGAGGGAGGCACGGGCCGGACACCUACGGGAGGGGGCGGAGGGGUAUAUUGCGAAAGGGGCGGGAGCCAGACGCAGCGACGGCGCGUGGGGGAUGGCGGCCUUGGAGUAGUAAACCUCUUUCGACCCCGACGAAUUUGGACGGUAGGGGUAGAAGAAGCACCGGCCAACUACGUG